This 1089-nucleotide long non-coding RNA is filed under the name Taeniopygia guttata (zebra finch). RNAcentral describes it as "lncRNA (ENSTGUG00000024638.1)". The record is from RNAcentral. Lineage: Eukaryota; Metazoa; Chordata; Aves; Passeriformes; Estrildidae.
AUGGGAUGGGGGAGGGGUCAAGAGGUGGGGGAGGGGCAAAAAAGGGGUGGGGGAGGGGUCAAGAGGUGGGGGAGGGGCUUUAAGGGGGAGGGUCUGGGAAUAGUGGGGGAGGGGCUUAGAACAUGGGUGGGGGAGGGGCUGAGGACCCCUCGAGGUGGGGGAGGGGCAGAGGACCCCUCGGGGUGGGGGAGGGUCUCUGACCGCCCCUCCCCCCCUCUCCGCCCCUCCCCCCAGCCCGUCUUCGCCCCGAUGCUCCCGGGCAGCCCCCGGCUCCACCCCUCCCCCACCCUGGUGGGCGGGGCCGCCCCUCCCCCCUUCGCCCCUCCCCCGCCGGACCCGCCCCCGCAGCCGCUCUACGGUGAGAGACGCCCCUCCCCCACCCACCCCCAUUUUGGGGAGGGGGAGGGGAGUGAAUCCCCCUCCCCCACCCCUCCCCCACUCUGUCUGACCGCGCCCCUCCCCCACAGCCGCGGUGCACCCGCCCUUCCCCCCCCCGGGGCCGCUGCACCCCUCCCCCACCCCCGGGGGGGGCUCCACCCCCGCCCCCGCCGCACCUGCGCAGGUAAGGCCCCAAAUUUGGGUGGGGGGAGGGGCGGGGGGAGGGGCUGCCCCUCCCCCACCCAUCACUCACCCCUCCCCCCCUUUCCAUUCCAGCACCAAGGAGCCGCCGCCGCCCCUCCCCCACCCGCCCCGGGGCUGUUCUUGGGGGCCGCCCCUCCCCCACCCCCCUCCUCCGCCCCUCCCCCACCCCCCUCCGCCCCUCCCCCGCCCCCUUCUGGCGCCCCCUCCCCCCAAAGCGGCUUCGGCCCCACCGCCGCCCCUCCCCCACCCCCCCCGCAGCCCCCUCCCCCCCUCCCCCUGCCCCUCCCCCCACCGCCGCCGCCCCCCCCGCCCCUCCCCCACCCGCGGCGGCCGCCGCCCCUCCCCCACCGCCCCCCCCGGCCGUGUUCGCGCUGCACCCGCACGGCUUCGGCGUGGCCCAGGUGGGGGAGGGGCAGAGGGGGGGGAGGGGCGAGAAAUUGUGGCAUGGGGGAUGGGCAGUGGGGGAGGGGCACUGAUUUUUGGGGUGGGGGUGGGCAUUAUAUCUAA